This 375-nucleotide ribosomal RNA is filed under the name uncultured bacterium. RNAcentral describes it as "bacterial SSU rRNA". It matches the Rfam family "Bacterial small subunit ribosomal RNA", at positions 362 to 757 of the family's 1533-position model. The record is from RNAcentral.
UAUUGGACAAUGGGCGAAAGCCUGAUCCAGCAAUGCCGCGUGAGUGAUGAAGGCCUUAGGGUCGUAAGCUCUUUUACCAGGGAUGAUAAUGACAGUACCUGGAGAAUAAGCUCCGGCUAACUCCGUGCCAGCAGCCGCGGUAAUACGGAGGGAGCUAGCGUUGUUCGGAAUUACUGGGCGUAAAGCGUACGUAGGCGGUUAUUCAAGUCAGAGGUGAAAGCCCGGGGCUCAACCCCGGAACUGCCUUUGAAACUAGGUAGCUAGAAUCUUGGAGAGGUCAGUGGAAUUCCGAGUGUAGAGGUGAAAUUCGUAGACAUUCGGAAGAACACCAGUGGCGAAGGCGACUGACUGGACAAGUAUGACGCUGAGUACGAA